GCUGGCAGAGCUCAGUGUUUUGCACUGCUGUGCAGUGUUUGCCUCCUGGUGAACAGUUCCUCGGGCACAGGAAAGUCAAGUUGCUGAAAAGUUACAGCCAGUUCCUUUAGCAUCCUAUUUAGGAAGAGCAGAAAAGAGACAAGUCAGGACAUUCUGCAUGUCUACAGGACAGCACAAGAGUCUCAGAGGUACCAGUUUUCCGGAUGAAGUGUUAGAGCAGAGGACAGCCUUCCAGAUGGAAACAAAACUAAGCAGCAGAAAGUCCUGGCUUGGCAAGAUGCUGACAUUCCAUUUAGAUAUUCAUUGGAAUAUCUAAUUCAACUGGUUUCAAAUCGGUCACUAGGGACAAUUAGACAACUUUCCCAGUGGCACCAAAGUCCAGAAGGAAGCACCAAGAACUCCAUCUCCUUGAUCUUUAAAGGCCACUGAGGGCAGUCCAACAUCAGUGGGAAACUGGUUGGUGCUGUUCCAUUGCAGCAUGGAUCCCAGCAUCCUGCUGAAAACUGGAGGUGCUGCUUUCACCUGCCUUCCUACUACUCUUAGAGGAUGAGAUAUUUUGGAGAGCACUCUGGGACUGCCACAGGUGUUAGCAGCCAUUUGGUGAAAAUCUCCAAAAGAUUUUUUCCAGCCCCAGUGCAACCAUGCUCAGACAAAAGAUAUCUUUCACUAAAGACUCUUUAGUGGAUCCCCAGUUUUUUUUGAGAAAGAAAGAAAGGAAAGGAAAGAAAGGAAAGAAAGGAAAGAAAGGAAGAAAGGCUACCCUGCAAUAUGCAGACAUUUUUUUCUUAUAAAAAUUGGUCUUCCUUAGUAUGCAACUGAAUGCUUGGGAGGCCUGUAGUGUGACUGAAUACACAGAAUCUUUUACGUAGUAUCAACUCUCUACUUAAAAAGAGGGACUGCAAAUUAGGUAUAUUCUAAAAAUCCGAUCCAGAGGUUAACCCUUUCUUAAAAAAGAUGUCAUUUUCAAAAUAUUUAACUUUUUUUUUUCCAUAUGAGAAUGCACACCAAAAAUAGUUCCCACUUUUUGAAUGAGUAUUUUCACUGUGAUCUAGUCACCUUUUAAAAUUAUAUUUUAAAUAUGAAAACCUGACUAAGUUGCAUGUAUACAUUAGAGUCCCACCUGAUAUGUGCCUUUUUUUUCCUGGUAGUUGUUAUUAUAUAAUCACAAUCUUGCUGUUUAGGAACGUGGGGCACAGGGAAGUAACAAUAUUUAUCAAAGGAUGCAUGGUAAGGCCCUGUCUGUAAAAAACAGAGGAGGCCAGCAUUGUCACACAUUCAUGAUCUUCACAAAUGCUAAGCCCUGUCCUUGCUUAUUUGCUCUUUAUUUCAUCUAGAUUCAAACAAAAAUAUCAGGCAGCUUAUUAAAAUCGGUCAAAUAUUUGUGAAGACUCACAGCAAUAUUUCUGUAAAUGGUGUGAAGACAGAUGUGCAGCAGAAGGUAACAAACCGACCACAAUACAACUAGAAGUUUAAAGCUAAAACUACCGUAAGGUUAAAGCAGACCUCAGCUCUGCAAAUCUGCAGAAGGCAGUUUACAAAGCCAGACUCUCUAAUGAGCAAUCAGCAAUUCCUGCAUUAUUUAUUUCUGUAUUGUUCUGGUAUUUCCAGAGAACAUAGAAAUAAUAAUAAUUAUAAAAAUCUCCUAAUGCUCAAUGGAGCUGUGGCUUGAGCUGAUGCUAAAAGUCUGCCUGUAAUUCUUCCAAGGGAUUUCACUACAUCCUUAUGUGACGUGAUACAAAAAUGCCUUGUACAACCCUCUCCAGAGUUUGAAAUUUUGAAGUGUUAGUUUAUAUCACAGAGUCACAUUUGGAACUUACCAGUGUUCAGGUGCUUGACAGUAAUACUAGAGGGCUGCCACUGGCAUUUCCCUGGCUCCUCGUGGUGCUAAGGGGAAAAACAAGGGUUUCUGGAAUGCCUCUUGUCUGAUUAAUAAUACCAGCAGGGAUACCCCUGAAAGAAACUCCGAAGGUUUCUGGUAAGAGACAGCACAUGUGCACGCUGGAGCAGCAAGUCCAGACACAGAGCAGUGUGCUUUGCCUUCUUGCGAUGAGGUUCCUUCUACUCCACAUACUUCCUUUGCAGUAUAGUCAGAUAUACAAUUUGUAAAAAGAACAACCAGCCCGUAGGUCUAAAAAAUAAUAAUUAGCAGUGACUAAUAUCUGUGUAGGUUUCUCACCUAGCAGCAGCCCCUCUCGUUUGAAUUCACACCUAAGUCCUUGUGAUGUUCUGGUUUCCUGGUUUAUGUUGGUACUAAAAGGUAUAAGCUGGCAGAGGAAGUGACAGUCCUAGUUUUGUGCAGAGCUACAAACUUUCCUUUGCAAAGGCACCCUGAGGGCAUAUGUACCAUUUUAAGUGCUAUCUAAUGCUUUCUUCUCUGAAGAGUUGAUACAGAGAUUGUUAUAAGUCAUGUCAAGGGCCAGGUUAAAUUAAUCAUCAUAAACCAUAGCUAUUUUUUCAGAUUACAGUUGAGUUUUCUUUAGGAUGUCAUUACAGUGUGUGGGAAACUUUUCUUCCCCACAUAAGUCUAAACAUGACCUUGCUUUGUAAUAAUGCCUGCUGGUCUCAACCUAGUUAGGCCAUGUAUGCUAGAUACUCAAAAAUUUAAAAAAGAAAAAAAUAUAGUUCUCGAUCCAAAAUGCUUAUAAGCAAAAAAAUUUUUGAGAUAUUAAUGCAAAACCUGGAAUGUGGUUAGAAGGGCUGAAGCGGAAUACUUGCGUUUUAGUCACAUUCCCCCUUGUGGUCUGUGGACUUCUAUUACCAUCUUUUUCACCCAUGUUCAGUCUCGGGAGGCUCUCCCAAACAAAAAACACAGACACAAUAAUAGUUCACAGACAGGAAUAACGAAGAUAUCACAAAGCAUCUACAGAACUUGUCCAGCUUUUUUACUAUUCCUAUUAAACAUGCACCAACUCACCAGCAGGUUACAAUUGAGAUUUCUCAAGUCAGGGAAGUACAUAUAUAAUGUAUAUUUUUUAGAGUACUUCUGCUAUGUCUUAGUGGUUUCUAUACUUAGGUCCAUGCUUAUAACUUAACCUGUGACUGCAUGUGCCAAAAAGUAACCAGUUGCCCUCCUGUCCCCAAAGCUGUUACGAGAACAGAGCAGACUCAUUUUAGAUAUUUCCAAUGUAGCUACCAAAGCUAUUUCUCCAUUCCAGAAGGCAAAUAACCCGAUCCAUGUAGGUAUCUAUCUUCAGAUUAAAUAAAUUCUUUAAUAGUAGGGUUGAAUUCAGCUCUAAAAUAAUGUAACUAAAUUUAGGAGUCCAGAUAUAGAGGAAUAGAUGUUACCCAGGUGUUAAGUUUCCCUUAUAGUUAAUAUUUGGCUACCAGCCAAAGGUGCUGGAUUGACCUGCUUAUGUACGCCUCAAUGCCAUCUUUGAUGCAGCAUGGCGUCUGAAACAUUCACGUGUGGUUGGCAGAACAGACACAAGACCUCUAAGAGAUCAGCCUCCUUCAAGAGAAGCAGCUGGAGACCAGGAAUUUUCAAGCAUCUCAGAUGACCCUAAAUGUCAAUGGGCAAGAAACUGAGUAAAGUUUUAGGUGUUUACUUUAAGGUGAGCUGAAUAUGUCUAGGAUCCAUAGAUGGCAUCUAUUGAUUAUAAUGGAAGCUCAGACAUUAGGCUCAUAUGUAAUUUACACACAGGCAGCUUCCUUGUCUCAGGAUGGUAAACCAGAUGGAAAGAACCGUAUUCCAGGGAACAUUUGUGGCAGAAAAAUGCUUUUAUUUCUAUUUAAAUUUAUGCAAAGAUGACUGAUGCAUUUUUAGUUGUAAAUAUCCUAAAUUUCUGAGCUCUUCCUAUAGACAGUGAAUUUCUCAGGGAUGUAAGAUACCAAAUGUGAGUUCAACUAAGGGCUUACAUGAUAAUUUCUAAAACAGUUACUUUAUCUGUAUCUUCAUGAGCAAAAGUCUGGGAAAAGCUGUAAACUCAAAUUCGAGAAACAAUUAAAAAUUUCACUGGUGGAAGAAGUAAAAUUAAGUGUGACUUAGUAGCAGAAAAUUUCCAGUAAGAAAAAACAAAACCCAAGCACUGGGGAGAACAGCACACAUUUGGUGCUCAUGGAGAAAAGGAAUUAAUUUUACAUGAACUAUGUUCUUCAUGCAACCACUGUUGCCUGUAGUAUUUCUGAUUCUAAUGACUGUUACAUGGAAGCAGCAAUUUGUUCCAGGGUUACAAAUACCUGUUUGUGUGACAGUUGUUAUCUGACCCAGGUUGAUGUAGCUGGCAGAGAUAGAUGAGGGCACAAUUUGACCACAGACACUUCCCUUGUUCUAUUGUAAGCAAAACCCAGAAAGCAUCAUAAGUUAACAAAAACUCCUAGGGAAAAUAAAAUAUUUUCCAACUUGCCCUGUCAAAAACAUCUUUUCUCCAGGGACCUCUGAUUCUCUUUUGUCUCUGUAUACAUAUAAAGAAAAUGCAAAUAAUGCAAGAUCAUUAAUGUAAGAUUAUUACUACAGCAACAAUUCAUAAGCAAGGCUGUGAAAUUUGCUGUUGCUCAAUGGCAAUGGAUGGUAGAUGUUGCCAAGAUCUAUGUCCAGUGUCCACUCUGGACUUGAAUUUGAGCAUGGAGACUGGUAACCUGGGAAGUGAUUGUGCUUCUGUUCACAUUUCAGUUUCUGAUACCAGAUAUAGGUCAACUAGGCUGUAAAAUGGGAGAAAGAUACUGUAACAAACAUCUACUCAGGAGUAGAGAUCUAAGCUGAACUCAGAAGCAGUGAUGGCACUUAGAGAUGACAAUAGAAGAGAGGCUUUUCAGGGACUUACUUUGGUCUUUCACAGAUCAGUUACCAUUUAGCCAGCCCAGAGCAGCCACUGACAGCUCUCACAGCGUGCCAGACAAAUGUCAUAGAGAAACUGAACACAGUAAGCCUCUUAAGUGAAAGUCAAUGACCAUUAACUCACUAAGUCAGAUUAAGUCUGCACAGAAUUGUCAGAAUAAACUGUGUGUUGAGGAGUAUCAAAGACAUAAUUAAAGGUAUUUGUAAAAAGGACAGGAGGAAUUACUGGUCACCAGGACACAACCCUUUUCCUCCUUUUACCCAGGUUCUUCUAAAUGGCUUCAGAUAAAGCAAAGCGAGUGUGUUUAAGAAGUCAAGAUCUAGGCUAAGAGGAAAUAUUACUGUAAGAAAUGUGCAUUGGACUCUCUCAGUGCCAUCAUUGCUUCUGAGUUCAGCUUUUUGAGUGUUGUUUUUUUCAUACCAAUUAGCACCACUCAUUCUCCUGAUCUGACUCUCUCAACAGCAUUUGCCAACCCCAACUCAGUCCAUUCUAUGGCUUGUGGCAUCACUAUUUUUGUUGUAAUGCUUCAAAAAAUGUUCUGCUGUUACACGAACAUAUUUGCUCAUACAAUAGCUGAGCCUAUACACUGUAUGCAGUCAUAGCUGUGUCCAAUACUUGUGACAGACACGGACGUUGGCUUUGCUUUAGAUAGAGGACAAGAAUAAGAAUGUCUAGGAAAAAUUAUGCAAGCAAAUAUGUUAUGCUUCAGCAAUAUGUCAAUUAGAAGUAUUCCACUAAAUGAAGAUACUCAAUUUUUACUCUAGAAACAGUAUCCCAAAUCUCUCUGUGAACCUAUUGAGUUUUAAAACUUAAUUUGUUGCUUGCUGUUGGUAUUUGAAUCAAGGUCUGCCCUAAUCUGGCACCUCAUGUGCCUUGUAUUUUCAGUGAACAGUUAUACACUACUGAUAAAUUUUUCUAAGUACCUUUUCCUCUUUACUCAGAAAGAACCAACCAAUCCAUGUUAUUUAUACAUUUUCUCUCUAGAUAUUAUCUUAGUUCUACACUGAUAAAUUGCGAUUUCAAAUUUCUGUUAGAAUGAGGAACAACAGUCAUUCUAUAUUGCUGAUGUUAACACCCUUGGUUUAAUUUUGUAGGGAUUUGAGUGACUCAGCAUCACAUCCCUCAUGAUUAGGAAACGUUUUGCAGUUUCGCUUUACAAUAUAUCAAUAAAAUUUUAUCUUUCCCUUAA
Molecule: long non-coding RNA, 5964 nt
Organism: Apus apus (common swift)
Lineage: Eukaryota; Metazoa; Chordata; Aves; Apodiformes; Apodidae
Exons: 2
Source: RefSeq, a predicted model, not a curated record